Long non-coding RNA from Rhododendron vialii, 3403 nucleotides. RefSeq lists it as uncharacterized. The record is from RefSeq and is a predicted model, not a curated record. The transcript has 8 exons. Lineage: Eukaryota; Viridiplantae; Streptophyta; Magnoliopsida; Ericales; Ericaceae.
UCUUCAGGAGGAAGUAUUGAAUAAGAACUCGUCAACCUCCAGUUCUUGCCAUCAGAUUAUUAUGUAUACAACCUAGGAUCUAGUUUUUUGUGAUUUCUUUUUUUGUUUACCCUGUCUUUGGCUGCUGCUGCUGAGUAAAGACGAGGCAAGUAAAAGAAACAUGUUUUUAAUCGUUGCAGGUAUAUUUUUUUCCUGGAUUAUGAAGAAUUUGUAUCAACUCAGACCAUUGAACUAGUACUAGGUUCGAGUGUAUGGGGUACAAAAAAAAGUUCAUGGGGUACAAUUAACUAUUUUAUGAAACCGUUAUGCAACUUGGAUGAGUUUAUGACGUGCCGUUCCACUUGUGGUUUUCAAUGUGGUUGUGUUUAGAUAACGCACAUUGUGCUUGUUUGGAAAUGUUGAGUGGUCAGAACUUUGAACUACUGCCGCACUUUUGCACUUUUUAACACGUAGCCAACCAUGAGCAACAUUUUCGUGAAAUGUUCUAUUUUUGAGGUACCCAAUUCAACCUGGAUGGUGCAAACCUUAUGAGAUUCUUAUGUGCAUGAACUUGUCUCUGUGUGAUCCUAUCGACAGAAUGGAGUUUUAUUAUGCCUCUUAUGUUCUUCUCUGAAUAGUCAAUUUGAGCUUCUUGCAUUAGGUUCACAUGAAAAUCGUUGUGAAGGGAAAGACAAACCCUCGGUACCUUCUUCCAGGAAUUGUCAGAGCACCUUGGGAUUUGCCGGUUGAAUGAACGUCUUUCUGAUCCCAAAGUGCAGGACAAUUUUGAGACGAUAUUCCCGAAAGAUAGUCCGAGGAAUUCCAGUUUUUUCAUCAACUUCUUCACUGCUGUGGGCCUUGAUGGCAUUACGGAGAACCUGCGUGAAUAUAGAAGAGCGUUGCAUGUCUUGUCAUUGUAGCAGUUUGGAGAUUAUAGUGCCAAUCUGAUAGGGUGAAGAUCUGCAACUGUAGCCUUUCGUCCUUGACUGUGGAAGUGAUAUCAUCAAAGCUUUUAAAAGACUUUCAAUUUGAUGGCAACAAGGACAUUUCUGGGUUAUGAUUAUUACUCUUUGAUGAUGGGUAUUUUGAGCAGAUCACGCUGUGCACAUCUCUCUAUGCCAUUCAUAAACUGCUAGAGAUUCGCUCCACGGCAAUGGGGUUCUCGCUCGAGAUGGCGAAGCUGCAACAGAAGCGGCGAGAAGAACUACUCCAUUCUACGGCGAUAACAAGCCAUCUCCUAGUAGUGUGAAACAAUGGCUGUCGUAUAUGGUGAAGGGCUUGACAGUCGCAAAGGAAGGUAUCAACGUUAAUGGAGAGGACUUAUGUUUUCCAGAAGAAGAUCCAUCUUGUCUGAAGCCUUUCCAGCUGUGUAAGGAAUAGAGGCAUAAUUUCGCAUAGGUAGUUCUCUAUUUGCUGCUUUUUCCAUGUUUGUACUCCUAACUUGGUGAUUUAAGCGUUCUAUGUUUUAUCAAGUUUGAAACUUUGAGUGUUGCAAAAACACAUGAUCCUUUACGUUUUCUCAAGUGGGAGUUAAUAUUUAUAUUAUAUGGCUGAUUGUCAUUUAAAUUGAAGUUUAUCUUGUUCUUUGAGAUACCCAUUAGUUCAGUUCCUUUUUAUUAUUUUCUUGUUUGAUUAAGAUUGCCCUAAACGGAAUCCCUCUCUCAUGGGGAGUCCAAAUCUCUAUAGCAGGAUUUGCCAUUAACCAAAUCAAAGUGAAAGCCUUAGGGUCAUCAGCCACUUUAAUUGAAGCCUUCAGGUACGUAAUGCUUUGUGCAAGUUUCGUUCAAUACUAGGAGUAUUAACUUUACAAAGUUUGCUUAAUUCUGACAAUAGUUAUUAUGGUCGAGAGUUCUAUUUAUUGUUGAGUUCAUUGAUAGCUUUAUGUGUUUUAUCUUGUGUUCUACUUUGUGAGAUCAUCUCCAUGUAUCUUAUGUGACUGGUUUUGUGAAUGUGGGACUCAGAGAAUGGUGAAUUAUCCAUUCAACAACCGAGGAGCGAUGCGGAAGAGAAAGAGCACUCCAUGUGUUCAAUUGAUGGCCUCAAUGAACUGUGAUUGUAGAGAAUUUAGGCAUACUUAUGGCUCUCCAGUCGAAGAGGUGGUUCAUCCAAUUUAUGAUCAAUGCUUCUACCUGACUUUGGAGCCUAAAUGGAAACUCAAGGAGGAAUUUGGGAUAGAUCUAUGGACUUUUGAGCAACAUCUUGAGGAGGCGGCGUGUAUUCCUGCUGGUUGUCCGCAUCAAAUCAGAAGUCUUAAAGAAAUACAUUUCUUCACCUUUUUUUGAAAUUUCAAUUUGACCAUGGAAUGCACAUAUCUGUUUAUGUAUAUCUAUUUUCUGCUUGCACAGUCAUGUACAAAAGUUGCUCUGGAUUUUGUUUCUCCUGAAAAUCUCCAUAAGUGCAUUCGAUUCACUAGGAGUCCGACGACUGCCGAAGAGCUGGAUAUGUUAGGAGAUUCUUCACUGGUCAUAGGGGAAAGACUCUCCUGUAGCAAGGGUGAUUGGUCAGUGCUCCUUUCUCAAACCAGAAUGGGCUUAUGCACUCCACGACUUAAUGUUUCAUGGGGGUAGUGAAAAAAAAAGGCGAUCGCUGGCAAGGAGAAGUGUUCAGCUGUGGCAACGUCUGUGUAUGCUUACGAUUACGCGGAGCUUCCAUCUCACUUGAAGUGGUGAAGAAGAUGAUCCUUCAUGCCAUGACCAAUCUGUUCAAGACUUGGAAGCCUUGAGACGGGAAAAAGGUGAUGGGGUGUGGGCAAAAACCAUUUAUCUGUCCUCCGAUUUAUUCCAUGUUGCUCUUUUUCCUUUCACCAGUAAAUGUUGUGGAAGCUUUGACCCCUGGAUUUCAUAAAUAUUGUGCAAUCCCAGAGGUGAUUGUAUAAGAAAACCGCACUGCAACCACAAUAAGUCAGGAUUAAGCUCUUGCAGCAACUUUUCCUAGAGAUGGAGUGGGCAAUAUCAGCUGAGCAUUUGGUCUUGCGAUUUAAUUUUGCCCCAAAGAGCAUGGGAGGGAUUUGUGUGUGGGUGGGUGGAUGUGGGAGUGUUGGGGUGGGGAUUGAAGUCAUCCAGAAUCAAUUAUAGGUGUAUGUGAUCUAUGAAUCUGACAGAAUAUGAACAAUGCCAUGUGAACUUUUGGAAAAGCUUUGGUAGGAAGAUAGGUAAGGGAAUGGCAACUAAUACAUGCACUCUAUGUUUUGAAAGAGAACUGUUUAGCAGACAGUUUUAGCUAUGCCUACCAUAUUGAAAGCGCAAACCUAUUUGUAAUUCAGAAACCUCAAGUAAUCUGUAUUGUUCCUAACCUAGAUUCAUCAUCUAACUUGACUUGUCCUGACACAUCAAUCUUCUUAUUUUGGAGUAGUCAUUUUAGCAUUCAUCAUCUGUUAUUUUUACUGAAUUGCAUUAGACAUGUAUGAUAACUUAUCUAAGUUUUU